This 253-nucleotide ribosomal RNA is filed under the name uncultured bacterium. Its description in RNAcentral is "partial 16S ribosomal RNA". It matches the Rfam family "Bacterial small subunit ribosomal RNA", at positions 524 to 776 of the family's 1533-position model. The record is from RNAcentral.
UACGAAGGGGGCUAGCGUUGUUCGGAAUUACUGGGCGUAAAGCGUGCGCAGGCGGCUUCUCAAGUCAGGGGUGAAAGCCCAGAGCUCAACUCUGGAAUUGCCUUUGAGACUGAGUGGCUUGAGUACGAGAGAGGUGAGUGGAAUUCCCAGUGUAGAGGUGAAAUUCGUAGAUAUUCGGCGGAACACCAGUGGCGAAGGCGACUCACUGGCCCGAUACUGACGCUGAGGCGCGAAAGCGUGGGGAGCAAACAGG